RNAcentral lists this ribosomal RNA (488 nucleotides) under uncultured Sphingobacteriales bacterium. RNAcentral's name for it is "bacterial SSU rRNA". It matches the Rfam family "Bacterial small subunit ribosomal RNA", at positions 891 to 1382 of the family's 1533-position model. Lineage: Bacteria; Pseudomonadati; Bacteroidota; Sphingobacteriia; Sphingobacteriales. The record is from RNAcentral.
GCUCAGAAACUUAAAGGAUUGACGGGGGCCCGCACAAGCGGUGGAGCAUGUGGUUUAAUUCGAUGAUACGCGAGGAACCUUACCUGGGCUCAAAUGUAUGUUGACGUAUUCUGAAAGGGAUACUUCUUCGGACAAUAUACAAGGUGCUGCAUGGUUGUCGUCAGCUCGUGCCGUGAGGUGUCGGGUUAAGUCCCAUAACGAGCGCAACCCCUAUCAUUAGUUGCCAUCAGGUCAAGCUGGGGACUCUAAUGAAACUGCCUACGCAAGUAGUGAGGAAGGUGGGGAUGACGUCAAAUCAGCACGGCCCUUACGUCCAGGGCUACACACGUGCUACAAUGGCCGGUACAAAGGGCAGCUACCUGGUGACAGGAUGCUAAUCUCAAAAGCCGGUCUCAGUUCGGAUCGGAGUCUGCAACCCGAUUCCGUGAAGCUGGAAUCGCUAGUAAUCGCGCAUCAGCCAUGGCGCGGUGAAUACGUUCCCGGGCCUU